GACGAACGCUGGCGGCGCGCCUAACACAUGCAAGUCGAACGGAGUCAAGAGGAGCUUGCUUUUCUUGACUUAGUGGCGAACGGGUGAGUAACGCGUGAGUAACCUGCCCUGGAGUGGGGGACAACAGUUGGAAACGACUGCUAAUACCGCAUAAGCCCACGGAUCUGCAUGGAUCUGCGGGAAAAGGAUUUAUUCGCUCUAGGAUGGACUCGCGUCCAAUUAGCUAGUUGGUGAGGUAACGGCCCACCAAGGCGACGAUUGGUAGCCGGACUGAGAGGUUGAACGGCCACAUUGGGACUGAGACACGGCCCAGACUCCUACGGGAGGCAGCAGUGGGGGAUAUUGCACAAUGGGGGAAACCCUGAUGCAGCGACGCCGCGUGGAGGAAGAAGGUUUUCGGAUUGUAAACUCCUGUCGUUAGGGACGAUAAUGACGGUACCUAACAAGAAAACACCAGCUAACUACGU
Molecule: ribosomal RNA, 467 nt
Filed under: uncultured bacterium
Lineage: Bacteria
Description: partial 16S ribosomal RNA
Rfam family: Bacterial small subunit ribosomal RNA
Source: RNAcentral